AUUUUGGCGGCCGUUGAGGUGGAAGAUUGUAAAUCUUUUUAUGAUUAUUUUUAAUCCCUUUCUUAGAACU
Molecule: transfer RNA, 70 nt
Filed under: Micromelo undatus (miniature melo)
Lineage: Eukaryota; Metazoa; Mollusca; Gastropoda; Aplustridae
Description: Micromelo undata (miniature melo) tRNA-Tyr
Source: RNAcentral